This 445-nucleotide ribosomal RNA is filed under the name uncultured bacterium. Its description in RNAcentral is "bacterial SSU rRNA". It matches the Rfam family "Bacterial small subunit ribosomal RNA", at positions 330 to 792 of the family's 1533-position model. The record is from RNAcentral.
UCCAGACUCCUACGGGAGGCAGCAGUAGGGAAUUUUGCGCAAUGGGGGAAACCCUGACGCAGCAACACCGCGUGAAUGUUAAGCCCUUCGGGGUGUAAAGUUCUGUCAAUAGGGACGAAUUUUGACUGUACCUAUAAAGGAAGCACCGGCUAACUCCGUGCCAGCAGCCGCGGUAAUACGGGGGGUGCAAGCGUUGUCCGGAAUCAUUGGGCGUGAAGCGUUCGUAGGCGGUAUGUCAAGUCUGAUGUUAAAGCCCGGGGCUCAACUCCGGUUCGGCAUUGGAUACUGGCAAACUAGAAUGUGGUAGAGGUAAAGGGAAUUCCUGGUGUAGCGGUGAAAUGCGUAGAUAUCGCGCAGAACUCCGAUUGCGAAGGCAGCAUGCCGGCUCCACACUGACGCUGAGGCACGAAAGCGUGGGUAUCGAACAGGAUUAGAUACCCCAGUA